UACAGAGGGGGCAAGCGUUAUUCGGAAUUAUUGGGCGUAAAGGGCGCGUAGGUGGCACGGUAAGUCAAAGGUGAAAUCCCUCGGCUCAACCGAGGAACUGCCUUUGAUACUGCCGGGCUUGAGGCCGGGAGAGGGUAGCGGAACUCCCAGUGUAGCGGUGAAAUGCGUAGAUAUUGGGAGGCACACCGGUGGCGAAGGCGGCUACCUGGACCGGUUCUGACACUGCGUCGCGAAAGCGUGGGGAUCAAACAGG
This 253-nucleotide ribosomal RNA is filed under the name uncultured bacterium. Its description in RNAcentral is "partial 16S ribosomal RNA". It matches the Rfam family "Bacterial small subunit ribosomal RNA", at positions 524 to 776 of the family's 1533-position model. The record is from RNAcentral.